CUAUUAAUUUCCCGAGAAAAAGCAAAGAAAUUGAACCCAGGAAAAAAAUAUACAAAUAAACUUGUAACUCUGUGAGAAGAAAUAGUCUUGUUACUUCAAUUAACUGCGAUGGCUUCUUCUUCUUCUUCUUCUCAAGUGAAGUAUGAUGUUUUCCUCAGUUUCAGAGGUGAGGACACUCGAGACAAUUUUACCAGCCACCUCAAUGCAGCUUUGUGUCGGAGAAAGAUUGUUACUUUCAUCGAUGAUCAACUUGUAAGAGGAGAUGGGAUUUCACCAUCUCUUUUGAAUGCGAUUAGUGGAUCAAAGAUUUCAAUCAUCAUUUUCUCGAAAGGUUAUGCUUCUUCUACAUGGUGCCUCCAAGAACUUGUUGAGAUCCUCAAUUGCAAGAGAGUGUACGGUCAGAUUGUGAUUCCAGUGUUCUAUCAUGUAGAUCCAUCAGUCGUAAGGAAGCAAUCAGGGACUUAUGGAGAUGCAUUUGGCCAGCAUGAAGUAAAAUAUAUGGAGGAAAAAGAGAUGUUGCAGAGAUGGAGGAAUGCUUUGACGGAAGCAGCCAAUCUAUCUGGCUUUGAUUCAAAUUCCAUCAGGCCUGAAUCGAAACUUGUUGACGCAAUUACUGAAUGCAUUUUGGGGAGUUUGAAUGAUAAGUCUUAUAGCGAUAAUAAGAACUUGGUUGGAGUAGCAAUGAAGAUCGACGAAAUUAAAUCUUUAUUGUCUAAUCAGUCAAGUAAAGUAUGCAAGGUAGGACUUUGGGGUAUGGGUGGCAUAGGCAAGACGACUCUUGCUGAAGCAGUCUUCAAUGAAAUCUCAAGUCAAUUUGAAGCUUCGUAUUUUGCUCGAAAUGUUAGGGAAGAAGCAUCAAGUAUAACUCAACUCCGUCAUUUAAAAAAGGAAUUUCUACAUGCAAUAUUAGGGGAUAAACACCUUGAUAUAAAACACACAUUCACUAAAGAAAGGCUUGGACGUAAAAAAGUUCUUAUUGUUUUUGAUGAUGUGACAGAUUCGAAACAAAUAAAAGAAUUAAUUGAAGAUCCUGAAGACUUGGGUUCUGGAAGUCAAAUCAUUAUAACCGCAAGGUAUAAACAAGUGCUAAAAAUUUGUAGAUUGGAUGAUUCUACCAUAUAUGAGGUCGGAGGAUUAGGUAGUGACGAAUCUCUUAGACUUUUUACACGACAUGCCUUCAAACAAAACCAUCCAAUUGCUAAAGUUUACUUGAAGCUUUCAGAAAAAGUUAUAAGUUAUACAAGAGGUUUGCCUUUAGCUCUCGAAGUUUUAGGUAACCAUCUCCUUGGUAAAGAAAAACUUGAAUGGGAUAGUGCACUGGAAGAUUUACAAAAAUCUCCGGAUGAGGGUAUCCAAAAGGUGCUUAAGAUCAGUUAUGAUGGAUUAUCUGAUAAAGAGAAGAUUUUAUUUUUAGAUAUUGCAUGCUUCUUUAAAGGAUGGGAUAAAUAUCUAGUUGGUACAUUCAGUUCACAUUCUAGAAUAAGAGAUCUUGUUGAUAAAGCUCUUAUAUCUGUUUCAUUUACCACAAUAGGAAUGCAUGAUUUGAUUCAAGAGAUGGGUUGGGAAAUUGUCCGACAAGAGUCAAUCAAUAAACUUGGCCAGCGCAGUCGAUUGUGGCAUCAUGAUGAUGUAUAUCAUGUAUUGAAAAAAAAUCUGGGAACUGAUGAAAUAAGAGGCAUGCUCUUUAAUAUGGCUGAAAUGACGGAGAUAGACUUAAAGUCUCAUGCUUUCUCAAAGAUGACUAAUUUAAGAGUCCUGGUUGUAAAGCACAUAUCUUCGAGAGACGAUAAUAAGAUUCAUGGUUUUGACAGCAUUGAAUUUGAUUUCUCAGAGUUAGAAUGCCUCUGUUGGAAUUAUUACCCCUUCAAAUCGUUGCCUUCGGAAUUUGAUCCUGAUAACCUUGUUGUACUUAAGAUGCAAAACAAUAAUCUUAAACGACUAUGGACGGGCAGCAAGAAUCUUGCUAAUUUAAAAUACAUUGACCUAAGUUACUCAGAACAUCUACUUGAAGUCCCAGACCUUUCAAAGGCUCCACAUCUAGAGCGGUUGAUUCUAGAAGACUGUACAAGUUUGGUUAAGAUCACUCCUCCAUCUCGGAAUCUCAAUAAACUUGUUGAGUUGAAUCUAAGAAAUUGCAAAAGCCUUAUCUGUCUUCCAAUUCGCAUUCAAUCAGAGUCUUUAAGAGAUGUUAUUCUCUCUGGUUGCUCUAAUCUCAUCACUGCUCCAAGGAUAUCAUGUGAAAUGAAAAGAUUGUGUUUGGAUGGAACUGCAAUUAGAAACUUAUCGUCUUCCAUAGAAAGUUCUUCCAUUCUAGUUGAACUGAAUCUUAAGGACUGCUUAAGCCUUGAAAGUCUUCCAAGCACCGUUUGUAAUUUGACAUCUCUUCGACGGCUUGAUCUCUCUGGUUUGUCAAAUCUAAAGAUGGUUCCAGAGUUCCCACCUAAGAUCCUAGAGUUGUAUUUAGAUGAAACUGCAAUAAAAGAAUUGUCUUCAUCGAUUGGGAAAGUAUCAUCUCUGAUAAGAUUAAGUCUUAAAAAUUGUUCAAGCCUUGAAAGUCUUCCAAACACCAUUUGUAAGUUGAAUUCUCUGAAAUAUAUUUGUAUCUCGGGUUGUUCAAAACUUGAAAGAUUGCCUGAUGACUUAGGAAAGUUAGAGAGCUUGGAAGGAAUCGAAGCUAGUGGAAUUACUGUUAAAGUGCUGCCUUCAGUUAUGACUGCUCUAUCAGCUUUGCGAUUUUUAAGGAGAUUAGAGUUGAAUUACUGCAGCAUUACAGAGUUACCCAAUAAUAUUGACAAUCUGUCCUUACUCGUAGAUCUGGAAUUGGAAGGAAACAAUUUUGAGACCAUCCCAACAAACAUCAUGAACCUUUCGAAGUUACAAAGCCUUAACAUAAGGUUUUGUGAUAGGCUUCGAUCCUUACCAAAGCUUCCACGCAACAUAAAAGAACUUCUGGCAGAUGGUUGCAAAUUGCUGAAAGAAUUAUCAGUUUUGACAAAUCUAAUAACUCCAGGACCUGAUAGAAGGACACUGAACUUGUUCAAUUGCGUCAGUCUGGAUUGGGACGCAAUCAGAAACAUUUUAUUUGGUUCUAUAUUGAAUACGUUCUCAAGUAAAAUUUACCACUUCGCAUAUAAGGUAUCUCCCAAGCGAAAAUCUGAAUUUUGUUACCCUCAAUCAAUUGUGGUCAAUCUUGAAGCUGGAAUUUGUUAUCUUGGAAGUGACAUUCCGGAAUGGUUUAACAUUCAAAGUAGUGGAUCAGUUAUUCCCUUCCAACAAUUUGGAAUUUCUUACCCUGCUGGAAGUGACAUUCCAGAACGGUUAAACAUUCGAAGUAGUGGAUCAUUUCGUCUCAAGCGAGAAGUUGAAAUUUGUUACCCUGGAAGUGACAUUCCGGAAUGGUUUAACAUUCAAAGUAGCGGAUCAGAUAUUAAGUUACCACAAGGUUCAUUCAAUGAGAAGGUUCUGGGUCUUGCCUUUUGUUUCAUUGUUGAAGUCGAAGAUAAUUCUGAUCAGUGUAAUUUCUUUGGUGUUGGUAGUUUGUUGCGACGGACUGGCCCUUAUAGCGACCGUCAUGGCGGUGGUGAAGAGACUUAUCUUUUGACCAAGUGUGUUAAGUCAGACCAUGUAUUAGUGAUAUAUGACCGCAUUAUAUGGGAGAUAUUUCACACAGAAGAUUUUAAUUUCGCUUGUGAUAAGGAAGCCAGUUUCUUUUUCUAUCCCUUAUAUGGUUCUGGAUCUACAAAGAAAAAUUGGAUAAAAAAUAUAAAGAAGUGUGGGAUUCGUUUAUUGUUCACUGAUGAGUUGGAGGAAAUUAUGAAAGGAUCAGGACGUUCCAUCUAUGAUGAAGAACGUGGAUUUAAAUCUUCAAAUUUCUAUAAAGGCGAAUCCAGCUCAAGACGAUUGGGGCCUUCCAUAGUCAGCCAACCAGUGACGGACUGCAUGACUGAAAAAGGGGAAUUGGAGCUUCUGCCGAGGGAAGUGCUCAAGCACAGGAAUCAUGAACUCAAUCUUACAUAUAUUUCUGCAUUGAAUGGAGUUCAACAUAAGGAAGAAGAGGAAGAGUCUACUGAAAAGGAUUCUCAUUCGCAUGUGGAAGCCACACCUAUACCGAGCCCUGGAGACAAUGAUGGGGCAAAAGAUAAUGUAUGUUGCUGCAUAAUUUUAUGAUGAAGAUGGAUGAAAACUAAAGAAUUCAAAUCAUAUGAGAAGGGAAGCUGCUGAGACAAUAGAGAUGGAUACAAUGAAUGAUCUUCAAAAUAGACCUCCAGAGUUGAAGACUGUCAAGAUCCAAAGCACCAAACCAUGGCAAAAGGUUCAAAGAAUUAAGGAGUAACUCUUCAAGUUCUGAUGGUAUAAUGACAUCAGUGUGAAGUUUCACAAACCAGAUAAUGGUAUAAUAAUACCUUUAGAAAUUCUGAUGCCCAGACUACGCAAUUUGCAAAGCUAAUCUGAAUAAACUUUUCAUUUGGAAUCAAAAUCAUCAUGUUUCUGAAGAA
Mangifera indica (mango) is the source of this 4496-nucleotide RNA transcript. It is a transcript of the gene named disease resistance protein RPV1-like, with no coding region annotated. The transcript has 9 exons. Lineage: Eukaryota; Viridiplantae; Streptophyta; Magnoliopsida; Sapindales; Anacardiaceae. The record is from RefSeq and is a predicted model, not a curated record.